AGUGUGGCUCAAGGGUAGAGCACCUGUCUAAUAUGACAUACAUGUGGCCCUGGGUUCUAUCCCAGCACU
This 69-nucleotide transfer RNA is filed under the name Neotoma lepida (desert woodrat). It matches the Rfam family "tRNA". Rfam says of the family: Transfer RNA (tRNA) molecules are approximately 80 nucleotides in length. Their secondary structure includes four short double-helical elements and three loops (D, anti-codon, and T loops). Lineage: Eukaryota; Metazoa; Chordata; Mammalia; Rodentia; Cricetidae. The record is from Rfam by way of RNAcentral.